Molecule: long non-coding RNA, 1265 nt
Filed under: Numida meleagris (helmeted guineafowl)
Lineage: Eukaryota; Metazoa; Chordata; Aves; Galliformes; Numididae
Description: lncRNA (ENSNMEG00000000375.1)
Source: RNAcentral
GCUGCGGGAGCGCGCCCGGAAGCAGCAGCAGCGGCGCCAGAUCUGCAGCCUCAGCUUCAACCUGGACGAGGAGGAGGAGGGGGGGGACAGCCCCCCCCGGGACCCCCCCAGCGACGGUCAGAGCGCUGGGAUUUCCCCCCCCCGGGGGGGUGGGGACGCACACAAACCCCGCCCCUUUGCCCUUAUAUGGACAAACACCGGGGAUGAGGGUGGAGCCUAACUGCAGUGUGUGGGUGUGGUCAUGGUGUAACCACGCCCUUUUGUCCUUAUAUGGAGAAGGCACAGCGCCAGGGGGAGGUGCCUAAGACCAGUGUGGGCGUGGCCUUGCUGUAACCCCGCCCAUUUCUCUGUAUAUGGAGAAAGCACAAAGAAAUGGGAUGGGACCUAAUUGCGGUGUGGGUGGGGCCAGGCACAAACCCCGCCCCUUUCUCCUUAUAUGGAGAGACAGCGGGGAUGGGGGUGGAGCCUAAUUGCAGUGUGUGGCCGUGGUCAUGGUGUAACCCACCCUUUUCUCCUUAUAUGGAGAAGGCACAGCGUUAGGGGGAGGUGCUUAAGACCAAUGUGGGCGUGGCCUUGCUGUAACCCCGCCCAUUUCUCCAUAUAUGGAGAAAGCACAAAGAAAUGGGAUGGGACCUAAUUGCGGUGUGGCUGGGGCCAGGCACAAACCCCGCCCCUUUGUCCAUAUAUGGAAGCUCCCACCCGGGCAGUAGGCGGGGCCUAACAUCAGGGUAGGCCUAUGGAGGCGUGGCCAAACCAUAACCCCGCCCCUUUCCCCAUAUAUAGAAAAUGUUUUUCAGGGUGGUGGGUGGGCGUGGCCUCAAGCACAUGUGGGCGGGGCUAAGGCAGAGGGUGAUUGUAUGGGGGCGGGGCCAAGCCAUAACCCCGCCCCAUUGACCAUAUAUGGAGAAUGUGGCCCCCCGCCCCCCCGGUGGUGGGUGGGGCCUCGUGCACAGGGGGCGUGGCCAAAGCUGUAACCCCGCCCCUUUGCCCAUAUAUAGAGGAGCCCCCCCGGAAGAAGAAACUGGGGAAGAACCCGGACGUGGACACCAGUUUCCUCCCGGAUCGCGACAGGGAGGAGGAGGAGAACCGACUGCGGGAGGAGCUGCGCCAGGAGUGGGAGGCCAAGCAGGAGAAGAUCAAAAGUGAGCGGGAUCUAUGGGGCUGGGAUCUAUGGGGCUGGGAUCUAUGGGGCUGGGAUCUAUGGGGUGGGAUCUAUGGGGCUGGGAUGUAUGGGGCCAGGCCCCCGUGGAUCUGUGGGGCGGGAU